AAUGGGCGAAAGCCUGAUGCAGCGACGCCGCGUGAGCGAUGAAGGCCUUCGGGUUGUAAAGCUCUGUGGGGAGGGACGAAUAAGUGCUGGCUAAUAUCCAGUGCGAUGACGGUACCUCCUUAGCAAGCACCGGCUAACUCUGUGCCAGCAGCCGCGGUAAGACAGAGGGUGCAAACGUUGUUCGGAAUCACUGGGCGUAAAGCGCGUGUAGGCGGCUAUGUAAGUCGGACGUGAAAGCCCACGGCUCAACCGUGGAAGUGCGCUCGAAACUGCGUAGCUUGAGUCUUGGAGAGGAAGGCGGAAUACUUGGUGUAGAGGUGAAAUUCGUAGAUAUCAGGUAGAACACCAGUGGCGAAGGCGGCCUUCUGGACAAUGACUGACGCUGAGACGCGAAAGCGUGGGGAGCAAA
This 409-nucleotide ribosomal RNA is filed under the name uncultured bacterium. RNAcentral describes it as "bacterial SSU rRNA". It matches the Rfam family "Bacterial small subunit ribosomal RNA", at positions 370 to 772 of the family's 1533-position model. The record is from RNAcentral.